ACCUCGAAGAUCAUUACCUAGAGUUGUAGGCUUUGCCUGCUAUCUCUUACCCAUGUCUUUUGAGUACCUUCGUUUCCUCGGCGGGUCCGCCCGCCGAUUGGACAAAUUUAAACCCUUUGCAGUUGCAAUCAGCGUCUGAAAAAACAUAAUAGUUACAACUUUCAACAACGGAUCUCUUGGUUCUGGCAUCGAUGAAGAACGCAGCGAAAUGCGAUAAGUAGUGUGAAUUGCAGAAUUCAGUGAAUCAUCGAAUCUUUGAACGCACAUUGCGCCCCUUGGUAUUCCAUGGGGCAUGCCUGUUCGAGCGUCAUUUGUACCUUCAAGCUCUGCUUGGUGUUGGGUGUUUGUCUCGCCUCUGCGUGUAGACUCGCCUUAAAACAAUUGGCAGCCGGCGUAUUGAUUUCGGAGCGCAGUACAUCUCGCGCUUUGCACUCAUAACGACGACGUCCAAAAAGUACAUUUUUACACUCUUGACCUCGGAUCAGGUAGGGAU
RNAcentral lists this ribosomal RNA (493 nucleotides) under Phoma sp. Pr70. RNAcentral describes it as "eukaryotic LSU rRNA". The stretch from base 157 to 310 matches the Rfam family "5.8S ribosomal RNA". Lineage: Eukaryota; Fungi; Ascomycota; Dothideomycetes; Pleosporales; Didymellaceae. The record is from RNAcentral.